Molecule: ribosomal RNA, 470 nt
Filed under: uncultured bacterium
Lineage: Bacteria
Description: bacterial SSU rRNA
Rfam family: Bacterial small subunit ribosomal RNA
Source: RNAcentral
GAUGAACGCUGGCGGCGUGCCUAAUACAUGCAAGUCGAACGAGGCCCUUUGUAUUCGUAUGAAGGUGUCCUAGUGGCGAACGGGUGAGUAACACGUAGGUGACCUACCCCGAAGAGGGGGAUAACCCCGGGAAACUGGGGCUAAUACCCCAUAAUCUCCAGAGUGUUAGAGUACUCUGGAAGAAAGGGAGCAAUCCGCUUUGGGAGGGGCCUGCGGCCCAUCAGCUAGUUGGUAGGGUAACGGCCUACCAAGGCGACGACGGGUAGGGGACCUGAGAGGGUGGUCCCCCACACUGGCACUGAAACACGGGCCAGACACCUACGGGUGGCAGCAGUAGGGAAUCUUGCACAAUGGGCGAAAGCCUGAUGCAGCAACGCCGCGUGCGCGAUGAAGGCCUUCGGGUUGUAAAGCGCUUUUCUGGAGGAAGAGAAAGGACGGUACUCCAGGAAUAAGUCUCGGCUAACUACGUG